ACGUAGGAUGCGAGCGUUGUCCGGAAUUAUUGUGCGUAAAUAUUUCUUAUUCGGCAUAUCAAGUCUGGUGUUAAAUCCCGGGGCUCAACUCCGGAUCGGCACUGGAUACUGAUAAGCUUGAGUGCAGCAGAGGCAAGGGGAAUUCCCAGUGUAGCGGUGAAAUGCGUAGAUAUUGGGAGGAACACCAGUGGCGUAAGCGCCUUGCUGGGCUGUUAAUGAAGGUUAUUGUUGUGUGGUUUUUUUGUUUUUGG
This 251-nucleotide ribosomal RNA is filed under the name uncultured prokaryote. RNAcentral describes it as "partial 16S rRNA". It matches the Rfam family "Bacterial small subunit ribosomal RNA", at positions 525 to 775 of the family's 1533-position model. The record is from RNAcentral.